CUGGGCAUUCAUAACUAAGAAUAAGCCUCCGUGUGUGAUUUAUUUGGGAGCUGGUAAUGGGCACCCCCAAAAGCCGGAAGAAUAAAACAUCACAACAGCACCCUUGUAUCAGAUUGAGACUGUGGAGGCACUGAGCCUUGUGUUAGGAAUGGCCGGUUAUGAUUCUCAGCAUUUCUAAAGUGCUGGCAGUCACUAUCAGAUCUCCUUAUAGCUGGGCUUUUGAGAGAAGGUGCCAGCCAUUCUAGGAAGGUUUUUCCCAGAAAUAUCCUCAUAAACCCAUCCAGAGGCAUGUCUCAUAGUUGACCCCUGAUCUAAUCAAGUUAACAAACAAGACAGAUCAUCACAAAAUAUAUAUAAUGUGGCAUACACAAAUUAUACCUGAUUUUUACAUGUGGGAGUUAUCAUUCAUUCCUUUGAACUCCUCACAGAAUUUUAUGGUAACUCAUAGAGCUUGGCACUUCUUUGUUGGGUCUUCUUUAUAGGUGGAACAUCUUCAAUAAACUACUAAUACUUCUUCAAUAUAGGGAAAAUGUCUCAGUAACAUUUGUGUCAAAUAUAAGCUGGUAUCUUGAAAAUACUGCUUUGAGUGUUCACUAAAUGCUUGCUGAACAUGUUAAAAUACGUUAAAAUGUAUAGCAUUCAUUGAAGAAUUUAUUCGUGGACUAGGUGACAUCUGAGAACAAUGAGAAGACAAGUUGAAAGCCAUUGAAGCAAGUGGAGAUGUUUGAGUGGGAUAGAGCAAGACAUCUUAAUUUAUUUUCUUGCCUUUGGGCUAGUGGUCUAUAGUUAACUGCCUAUAUAACCUGUACAAUUGAAAGAAGACAAAACUAUCAAAGUUCCAGAGGCUUCUGGGCGUUGAACUCUGCAAUCCAGGGUCAUUGCACUGUUUUACAACACCUUGUAGUUUAAGAAUGGUCCCUGCUUUUCUCCACAGCCUCAUCACCCACUGCCUCCCUCACUGUGCUCCAUUUAUUCUGCCCCCACCAGUAUCUUUUGGUCAUUUACUUGUUCUCCUCCCUUUCACGCUAAGCCAUGAAUGUUCAACCUUCUCACAUUGUGAUCUGAUGUCAUCUGCAAACACGUUGGGCUGAAAUGUGUGUGGGCCAGAGGUAAGCCGUUGCUGUGCCUGCAAUACUUUUUUUUUUCAGGUUCUUUUAGCUGCUUGUUUUUAUGUCAAAUCAAAUACAAAAGCUGCAGGUGGUGCCUUGCCUAACCCCCCAAAGAAAGAGCAGAAUGCUCAAUGUGGCUGGACAAGGGUGGGCAGCAGGGAGAAGAGAAAAAUGGGACCUUGGAAGCCGUUAAAAUAGGACCAGGUGGGGUCUUUCAGCAAUGGCAAAGAUUUCAGCUUGGGUCUGGAUGAGGAGGGAGGCCAUGGCAGGGAUUUGAGCCAAAGAAUAAACUGCUGGGCUCUCGUUAUACUGACUUACUUUGUUACACUAGAAACGCACUACUGAGAUUUGCUUGGAGACCCACAGGGCUAGGUGAAUAGCUCAGUCGAGAGCUGCUGGUAUCGUAGACCAUAGGGACAGCGUUCUAAGAUGACUUGUAUCAGACUGUCCAGUCUUUCCUCUACCUUUUCCAUAGGAAUGGAUUUAUAUUCAGGCGCUCCAUUUUGCAGAAUCCCUUCGUAACGGGAAUAUGGGAUCAGAGAAGUUAGAUAUUCCUGUCGUGCUAAAAACUUCCAACAGUGAGACUGUAGAAAUUCUCAGACGGGACCACACUGACAGCGCUGAAGAUAAGAGGAGGACUAUCCCAGGAAGUUACCCAGAAUUUUGUCUCUUGUCCGCAGAAGUGAGGGCUGAGGGAAGGCGUGGAGGACAGAGGGCAUUUUCUUAGUCUUGUCCCUGUUGGGCAACAGGAGGGAACAGGCUGCAUGAAGUAUAUGAUUUGGGGAACUGGUUGAAUCUUGGAGCAUGCAGAAAGAAGUGUCAUGCAGGGCUAACCAGAUCGGCACGGCCACUGAGCUGAACAUGCGACAGAAGAAGUGUUAUACAGGGCUAACCAGAUCUGCACAGUCACUGAGCUGUUGCCCAUGUCCUUUGCCCACCUCCAAAGCUGUAUUGCAAUCAUGGGAUUCGUUAAAUUGGCAUGAAAGUAGCACAAAAGGCGUUCUUGCCUCCAGCUUUAAGCUUUUAUACUGUAACAAUAUUAUCUUUUAAUGUAGGCCAAAAACAAUAUGCAUUUCAAAUCUUAAUUUUUUUUCUUUUUAAAAUUUAUACUACUCACAACUUUUUGGUCUAAAUUGUGUUAGUAAGUUGAAUUGUUAAAUUUCAUUCUACUAACCAGUGCUAGGAUAUUCACUUAAGUAUAAAUAGAUUAAAAGCAAAAGAAAAUGUGAAGGAGGCAAGCGGACCCUAUGAACGUGCCAGAGUUCUCGAUGAGGUUACUGCUCAGCUCUGCCUUUCCUGAUUAUAGGACAUAAGAAAUGUCUUCUUUGUGUUUGGUUACUGCACAGCCGGUGUCAUGACUUAGCUUAUGUCGUUAUGCCCAAGUUUCUGGUCCCCCAAAUGAAUUCACAGAGUCGGAUUUAUAAUGCAAAUUAUAUGAAAGUUUUAAUAAUAUUCAAACUUAAGUUUGGACCAACACCCUUCCAGCACUCCAGCACAGUGGUUGAGGAAAGUGUGGCCGGAGCCUUGGGAGGGCAGAACUUUUAAAGAGGAAACGCCAUAAUCAGGGGAGUUCCUGUCCAGUUGUCUUGGGACUGGGUAAGGAGUGCAUAGGAUAAGGUAGUUUCUGAACUCAUUGAUCUGUUUUUGGGUAUGAAAACCUAUCAAAGAGCCAUUAAUAACUGACAAGGUAUCUCCAAGGACAGGAAGCCUCCCAAGAAUGUUUGGACCUCACUAAAUUUUAUAGCCCUGCUCCCUACCUAAAUUGACCAUUUUUAGGGUAUCUACUCGAAUUUCUGCUGUGGCAGCAUGUUUCUGGAGCUGAGAUCGCCCACCCCCAACUCAUUAUAUGGCCUAACAUGAAGCCCCUGGGAUUUGCAAAAUGGGGUGUGCAAAGUCAGGUUCUCACAAUUUCAUGCUCAGAAUUUUUCUAUUUUAAAAAGGAAACAAUACUGGUGUGGACAGUGGUCCCCUCGCUGCACACUGGACAUCAGAUAGCCUUCGAGACCCACCGUCUACCUCCUGUUUACCCAGAGUCCUGUGCGACUGCUCACAGCUUUGUUCACUGAGCCACAUGUGUGUGUCCAGUAGAGACCAAAGUCACUUCUGUCCAAAGACAAAGUCUCAGAUCAGACUGCCAGGCCUUGGAUACCACUUCUGUCCUUGACUAGCGAUUGUGACCUCUGUUCACUAUGAAGGUCAAUUCUGCUUAAUUUGUUGUGAUAAGGAUAAACAAACACAAAGGUAUAUGUGAAGCAACAGGAAGAGCGUAAGCAGUGUAAGAAUUUGUAAGGGUUAAGUGAAUCAUGCAUAAGCAUGCACCAUGGCAUACUGAAGGAGUAUAUCAGUGUCCUAUUUAUAUUCGUUUCCAGGGACUUCCAUAACAAAUUACCACAAACUUGGUAGUUUAUAGACAACAGGGAUUUAACUGUGAUCAUCCUGGAAGCUAGAGUGUCCAUGUCAGUAUCAUUAGGCCAAAAGAAGUAAGUGUGCCAGCAGGGCAUCAUCACUUCAGCAGCUUCUGGCUGCAGCCAGCACUCGUUGGUUUGGGAUGGCACCAUGCUGACUUGUCUCCAUUUCACCUUUACCUUCUUCUUCUCUAUGUGUGAUAUGGUUUCAAUGUGAUUCGCUCUCCUGGACUCACAAGGAGUUUAAUUCCUAAGCCAUAUGCUGGUAGAGCUAAGAUAGGGGCAACUUAGACCAUAUCUCAGUUAGGUCUUCUUUUGCUAGGGGAAAAAAAAAACACGAGCAAAAGCAACUUGGGGAAGAACAGCUUUAUUUAACUUACAGGUCACAGUCCAUAAUCUAGGGAAACAAAGUCAAGAGCUUAAGGCAGGAUUUUAGAAGCAAGAACUGAAGCAGAGGCCAUGGAAGUUACACUGUUUCCUGACUUGUUCUCCAUGGCUUG
Non-coding RNA from Myodes glareolus (Bank vole), 4014 nucleotides. NCBI's taxonomy places the organism in Eukaryota, Metazoa, Chordata, Mammalia, Rodentia, Cricetidae. The record is from RefSeq and is a predicted model, not a curated record.